Trichonephila clavipes is the source of this 78-nucleotide non-coding RNA. The record is from the annotation of a GenBank genome assembly. NCBI's taxonomy places the organism in Eukaryota, Metazoa, Arthropoda, Arachnida, Araneae, Nephilidae.
GCCACUAUAGUGGUUAUGACUCUCGGCUUGUAAUCGAGGGGGCUCGGGUUCGAGUCCCGAAUAAUAUCUUCGGGAACA